AGUCUUCUUUUUGCCUGUAACAGUCCAGGACGUCCCAGGGAUCCAGCAGUUCUCUCAGAUGCACUACAAAGUCACUUUAACCCUGAAUGCUGGGGGGCCUGGGAGUCUACACUUCUUCUCUACGCCUUUGUAAGAAUUUAGGGAGAGGCUCAUUGAGAAAUGAACAGUAGAAUCCGGUUAUUCCCAGAUAACAUCUAAAUUGUAACUCAAUUUUAGGAUGGGUGUACCUGCCUGUUUGUUUUCAGGCUGGAAUGUCUUACUCUCAGAGAUCAGUCACAGUUGGAGGUAGGCAAAACGGGAAGCCGAAGGGAAAAGCAAACAACUCACUGAUAACGCAGGAGAAAAGCGAUUAGCAAAGAGAUCCCAGAACCUCCUGAAGAACUAAUCCCCGCCUGGAAUGUAUAAUAUCACUAUUCAAAUUAUGUGACCUAUACAAUGGCAAUUUUUUUUUGGCAAAUCUACCUUUAAAUGUUUCUAUUGCUGCUCAAGUGGGUUAAAUAAAACUAUCCUCCCCAAAAAGAUUAAAAUAUUUCAUCACUACUUAAAAAGGGAUACAGUGAGCUAGCUGUCCACACUAGUUUUGUUUGGAACUGAGAAUAAAUUCAUCAGUAAAAAUGGUUCUUGAAAAAAAGUCUUGUUGGCAAAUAGAGAAAGUUGACAUGGAACUAAUUUAAGUCAUAAUUCAAAAAAGGAAAUGUACUCAAGUCAUCCUGGAAAUACAGCCUGAGGCCGUGUUACUAGCAAACCGCUAACACUGAUGGUCUCUCCACACUUACCUCCCUCCAUCAAGAGGACACUUCUUCCCAUUUUCUCUCCAGGCAUUUUCUAAAGAUGCUGCACUUCUUCAUCGCAGCACUGGGCAAGUAGCUAAGCUCCUGAUUAGAUUUCUGAUACAGCCACAGCACCGUUUUAAAGGUGAACAAGAUGCUUAAUAAUAAAUGACAUCUGGUAUUUAAUUUAAAAAUUUUCUAAUUAUUAAACAUCGGUCCAUAAGAACAAUAACAACAACAACAACAACAACAGGCUCUUGGAAUUCAACAUUCCUAAAAUAACAGAGAAUCAAUUAUUUUUAGUUGACACAGGCAGCUUAGGCAUUAACUAAAUGCUAAUGAGGUGUUUCACUUCCUGAAGAGUUUAUUUUCCUCCUCCUCUCCUUCCUGUGCCCAGGAUGCAAACAGUCACCAGAAGCCCGGCUGGGUCAUGCGGGCAGCCUUUCGCUUCCUUGGAUUUUGCACGCAGCUUCACCAGACAGCAGACUGUGACCCUUUUCAUCAGACCAUGCUAGAAGGAAAGAAAGACUCUGAGCAGAAGGGGUGAGAUGAAGCAGUUCUGGCCGAAUCUUGAUAAUGAUUGGACCUGGGCAAUGAUUUCAUAAGAGCUUAUUGUGCUCAUCUCCCUACUACUAUGUAUGCUUGAAUAUUUGAAUAAUGAAAAUAAAACUUCUUUUUUUUUUU
RNAcentral lists this long non-coding RNA (1454 nucleotides) under Homo sapiens (human). RNAcentral describes it as "HSALNT0372266". The record is from RNAcentral. Lineage: Eukaryota; Metazoa; Chordata; Mammalia; Primates; Hominidae.